GGGGAUAUAGCUCAGUUGGUAGAGUUCUUGCCUCACAUGCACAGGGCUCUGGGUUCAAUCCCCAGCACCACUA
Molecule: non-coding RNA, 73 nt
Organism: Ictidomys tridecemlineatus (thirteen-lined ground squirrel)
Lineage: Eukaryota; Metazoa; Chordata; Mammalia; Rodentia; Sciuridae
Source: Rfam